RNAcentral lists this ribosomal RNA (433 nucleotides) under uncultured bacterium. Its description in RNAcentral is "partial 16S ribosomal RNA". It matches the Rfam family "Bacterial small subunit ribosomal RNA", at positions 29 to 507 of the family's 1533-position model. The record is from RNAcentral.
AACGAACGCUGGCGGCAUGCCUAACACAUGCAAGUCGAACGAGACCUUCGGGUCUAGUGGCGCACGGGUGCGUAACGCGUGGGAACCUGCCCUUAGGUUCGGAAUAACUCCCCGAAAGGGGUGCUAAUACCGGAUAAUGUCUUCGGACCAAAGAUUUAUCGCCUUUGGAUGGGCCCGCGUUGGAUUAGCUAGUUGGUAGGGUAAAAGCCUACCAAGGCGACGAUCCAUAGCUGGUCUGAGAGGAUGAUCAGCCACACUGGGACUAGGACACGGCCCAGACUCCUACGGGAGGCAGCAGUGGGGAAUAUUGCACAAUGGGCGAAAGCCUGAUCCAGCAAUGCCGCGUGAGUGAUGAAGGCCUUAGGGUUGUAAAGCUCUUUUACCCGGGAUGAUAAUGACAGUACCGGGAGAAUAAGCUCCGGCUAACUCCGUG